RNAcentral lists this transfer RNA (84 nucleotides) under Candidatus Woesearchaeota archaeon. RNAcentral's name for it is "tRNA-Ser". It matches the Rfam family "tRNA". From Rfam's summary of the family: Transfer RNA (tRNA) molecules are approximately 80 nucleotides in length. Their secondary structure includes four short double-helical elements and three loops (D, anti-codon, and T loops). Lineage: Archaea; Nanobdellati; Candidatus Woesearchaeota. The record is from RNAcentral.
GCGGUCGUGGCACAAUCCGGUACUGCGCCAGUCUUGAAAACUGGUGUCCGCAAGGACUUCCCGGUUCAAAUCCGGGCGACCGCG